RNAcentral lists this ribosomal RNA (419 nucleotides) under soil bacterium Pe8. RNAcentral's name for it is "bacterial SSU rRNA". It matches the Rfam family "Bacterial small subunit ribosomal RNA", at positions 954 to 1370 of the family's 1533-position model. The record is from RNAcentral.
UAUUAACGCGAAGAACCUUACCAGCGUUUGACAUGUCCGGACGAUUUCGGGAGACGGAUUUUUUCCCUUCGGGGACUGGAACACAGGUGCUGCAUGGCUGUCGUCAGCUCGUGUCGUGAGAUGUUGGGUUAAGUCCCGCAACGAGCGCAACCCUCGCCUUUAGUUACCAUCAUUCAGUUGGGGACUUUAAAGGAACCGCCGGUGAUAAGCCGGAGGAAGGUGGGGAUGACGUCAAGUCCUCAUGGCCCUUACGCGCUGGGCUACACACGUGCUACAAUGGCGACUACAGUGGGCAGCGAUCCUGCAAGGGUGAGCUAAUCUCCAAAAGUCGUCUCAGUUCGGAUUGUUCUCUGCAACUCGAGAGCAUGAAGGCGGAAUCGCUAGUAAUCGCGGAUCAGCAUGCCGCGGGAAUACGACGA